RNAcentral lists this ribosomal RNA (440 nucleotides) under uncultured bacterium. Its description in RNAcentral is "partial 16S ribosomal RNA". It matches the Rfam family "Bacterial small subunit ribosomal RNA", at positions 338 to 795 of the family's 1533-position model. The record is from RNAcentral.
CCUACGGGAGGCAGCAGUGAGGGAUAUUGGUCAAUGGGGGAAACGCUGAACCAGCAACGCCGCGUGAGGGAAGAUGGUUUUCGGAUUGUAAACCUCUUUCCUCUGGGAAGAUAAUGACGGUAGCCGAGGCGGAAGCUCCGUCUAACUACGUGCCAGCAGCCGCGGUACUACGUAGGGAGCAAGCGUUGUCCGGAUUUAGUGGGUGUAACGGGUGCGUAGGCGGACAUGCGAGUCAGAAGUGAAAUCCAUGGGCUUAACCCGUGAACUGCCUUUGAAACUGUAGGGCUUGAGUGAAGUAGAGGCAGGCGGAAUUCGAGGUGUAGCGGUGAAAUGCGUAGAGAUCGGGAGGAACACCAGUGGCGAAGGCGGCCUGCUGGGCUUUAACUGACGCUGAAGCACGAAAGCGUGGGUAGCAAACAGGAUUAGAUACCCUUGUAGUC